UGAAUUGACGGGGAGCACUACAACGGGUGGAGCCUGCGGUUUAAUUGGACUCAACGCCGGAAAACUCACCGGGGCGACAGCAAUAUGUAGGUCAAGCUAAAGACUUUACCAGAAUCGCUGAGAGGAGGUGCAUGGCCGUCGUCAGUUCGUACUGUGAAGCAUCCUGUUAAGUCAGGCAACGAGCGAGACCCGUGCCCACUGUUGCCAGCAUGUCCUUCGGGAUGAUGGGUACUCUGUGGGGACCGCCGAUGCUAAAUCGGAGGAAGGUGCGGGCUACGGUAGGUCAGUAUGCCCCGAAUCUCCCGGGCUACACGCGGGCUACAAUGACUGGGACAAUGGGCUCCUACCCCAAAAGGGGAUGGUAAUCUCAUAAACCCAGCCUUAGUUCGGAUCGAGGGCUGUAACCCGCCCUCGUGAAGCUGGAAUCCGCAGUAAUCGCGUUUCAACAUAGCGCGGUGAAUACGUCCCUGCUCCUU
This 476-nucleotide ribosomal RNA is filed under the name uncultured Methanomethylovorans sp. RNAcentral's name for it is "bacterial SSU rRNA". It matches the Rfam family "Archaeal small subunit ribosomal RNA", at positions 862 to 1338 of the family's 1478-position model. Lineage: Archaea; Methanobacteriati; Methanobacteriota; Methanomicrobia; Methanosarcinales; Methanosarcinaceae. The record is from RNAcentral.